UACGGAGGGGGCUAGCGUUGUUCGGAAUUACUGGGCGUAAAGCGCGCGUAGGCGGCUUUGUAAGUUAGAGGUGAAAGCCCGGAGCUCAACUCCGGAACUGCAUUUAAGACUGCAUCGCUAGAAUUGUGGAGAGGUGAGUGGAAUUCCGAGUGUAGAGGUGAAAUUCGUAGAUAUUCGGAAGAACACCAGUGGCGAAGGCGACUCACUGGACACAUAUUGACGCUGAGGUGCGAAAGCGUGGGGAGCAAACAGG
RNAcentral lists this ribosomal RNA (253 nucleotides) under uncultured bacterium. RNAcentral describes it as "partial 16S ribosomal RNA". It matches the Rfam family "Bacterial small subunit ribosomal RNA", at positions 524 to 776 of the family's 1533-position model. The record is from RNAcentral.